UCUAUCUAGCCUUAUAGUAUGAAUAAUUUUAACUUUAGGGGCUAUAGCGUGUUAGACCCAUUUCCCACUAGCAUACUUGACCACAUGGAGAUCACAUAAAUACGGAAUAAGCAAUCAGUAGUAAAAAAAAUUCAAACUCGUACAUUACACUUCGGUUUCGACAAAACCGUAGCGUAUCAGCCUAACUGUCUCGGUUCUCACAGACCCGCUGCCUAAAGUACAUACUGCUUUCGUUCAAACAAGGACCCGAGUCAUAUGAUGUAUUUCAUUUUAUUCCGGAAAUUCUAAUAUGAAAAUCUGAUUUCAGUAAUUCUAUUUCAAAAAUUUUCUUUUAGAAAUUUCAGAAAGUUUCUGAAAUAUGGUAAAGUAGUCAUUUUGAAAACUAUGGUGGGGUGUGCAAAAAGGUUGUAGGGUGUAGAAAUAAAAGUCUUUUAUUUGGUUAAGUAAACAAUAUUAUUUCAUAUUGGGUAUUGAACUAAAAGCCUAAUACGCGAAUGGGGUUGCUUUCUCCACCUCCCCGUUUCCUCCUUCCACCUCCCCAAUUUCUUCAUUUUUUUUAAUUACAAAAAUAACCUUUUUCUUUUCCUUUUGUAACUUUUUUAAUUUUUUUUUUACUUUUUUACUUUUAAUGUUAUUUAGCAUAGUAACCUUUAACCCUAAGCUUUUACUCUUUUUUUCUCAUUGUUACUCUCUGCUCAUAGUCCCACCCCUACCCCCCUUAAGCUUUUGAGAUCCGCCUCUUCUUCUCCCACCUCCGUCACACUCUUUUUUUCUCUGGCUGUCUUCUUCCAAAAUCUACCUUUGCUCUCCGUGGUGGUGCAAUGCGAUGGUGCGGUGCGGUGGUGUUUCAGUAGUAGAAUAGUGGUUCUUAUUGGAGGUGCAUGGUACAGAUUGGGGCAUUCGUCUACCAGGUUCUUCGAUUUUUAGUCUUUAAUAUUCAUGCAUAGAUCUUUGAUUUAUUGAAUGUGUGCAUUGUUUG
RNAcentral lists this long non-coding RNA (979 nucleotides) under Vigna radiata. RNAcentral's name for it is "long non-coding RNA (VRAD_LNC006278)". The record is from RNAcentral. Lineage: Eukaryota; Viridiplantae; Streptophyta; Magnoliopsida; Fabales; Fabaceae.